This 504-nucleotide ribosomal RNA is filed under the name uncultured bacterium. RNAcentral describes it as "partial 16S ribosomal RNA". It matches the Rfam family "Bacterial small subunit ribosomal RNA", at positions 30 to 523 of the family's 1533-position model. The record is from RNAcentral.
AUUGAACGCUGGCGGCAGGCCUAACACAUGCAAGUCGAACGGUAGCACAGAGAGCUUGCUCUCGGGUGACGAGUGGCGGACGGGUGAGUAACGUCUGGGAAACUGCCCGAUGGAGGGGGAUAACUACUGGAAACGGUAGCUAAUACCGCAUAACGUCGCAAGACCAAAGUGGGGGACCUUCGGGCCUCACACCAUCGGAUGCGCCCAGAUGGGAUUAGUUAGUAGGUGGGGUAAUGGCUCACCUAGGCGUCGAUCCCUAGCUGGUCUGAGAGGAUGACCAGCCACACCGGAACUGAGACACGGUCCAGACUCCUACGGGAGGCAGCAGUGGGGAAUAUUGCACAAUGGGCGCAAGCCUGAUGCAGCCAUGCCGCGUGUAUGAAGAAGGCCUUCGGGUUGUAAAGUACUUUCAGCGGGGAGGAAGGCGGUGAAGUUAAUAACUUCACCGAUUGAUGUUACCCGCAGAAGAAGCACCGGCUAACACCGUGCCAGCCGCCGCCGUAA